AAUCAACGCUGGCGGCGCGCUUAACACAUGCAAGUCGAACGAGAAAGGGGAGCAAUCCCUGAGUAAAGUGGCGUACGGGUGAGUAACACGUGGAUGAUCUACCUCUUGAUGGGGGAUACCUCUGGGAAACCGGAGACAAUACCGCAUAAGCUCGGGAGAGGAAAGCCGAAAGGCGUCGAGAGAGGAGUCCGCGGCCGAUUAGCUAGUUGGUAGGGUAAAAGCCUACCAAGGCAAAGAUCGGAGCCGGCCUGAGAGGCACACGGCCACACUGGCACUGAAACACGGGCCAGACUCCUACGGGAGGCAGCAGUGGGGAAUCUUGCACAAUGGGGGCGAACCCUGAUGCAGCGACGCCGCGUGAGCGAUG
RNAcentral lists this ribosomal RNA (367 nucleotides) under uncultured bacterium. RNAcentral describes it as "bacterial SSU rRNA". It matches the Rfam family "Bacterial small subunit ribosomal RNA", at positions 29 to 410 of the family's 1533-position model. The record is from RNAcentral.